AGUCGAACGGCAGCACGGGAGCAAUCCUGGUGGCGAGUGGCGAACGGGUGAGUAAUACAUCGGAACGUGUCCUGUAGUGGGGGAUAGCCCGGCGAAAGCCGGAUUAAUACCGCAUACGCUCUGCGGAGGAAAGCGGGGGAUCCUUCGGGACCUCGCGCUACAGGGGCGGCCGAUGGCAGAUUAGCUAGUUGGUGGGGUAAAGGCCUACCAAGGCGACGAUCUGUAGCUGGUCUGAGAGGACGACCAGCCACACUGGGACUGAGACACGGCCCAGACUCCUACGGGAGGCAGCAGUGGGGAAUUUUGGACAAUGGGCGCAAGCCUGAUCCAGCAAUGCCGCGUGUGUGAAGAAGGCCUUCGGGUUGUAAAGCACUUUUGUCCGGAAAGAAAACCGCCUGGCUAAUAUCCGGGCGGGAUGACGGUACCGGAAGAAUAAGCACCGGCUAACUACGUGCCAGCAGCCGCGGUAAUACGUAGGGUGCAAGCGUUAAUCGGAAUUACUGGGCGUAAAGCGUGCGCAGGCGGUUCGCUAAGACAGAUGUGAAAUCCCCGGGCUUAACCUGGGAACUGCAUUUGUGACUGGCGGGCUAGAGUAUGGCAGAGGGGGGUAGAAUUCCACGUGUAGCAGUGAAAUGCGUAGAGAUGUGGAGGAAUACCGAUGGCGAAGGCAGCCCCCUGGGCCAAUACUGACGCUCAUGCACGAAAGCGUGGGGAGCAAACAGGAUUAGAUACCCUGGUAGUCCACGCCCUAAACGAUGUCAACUGGUUGUCGGGCCUUCAUUGGCUUGGUAACGUAGCUAACGCGUGAAGUUGACCGCCUGGGGAGUACGGUCGCAAGAUUAAAACUCAAAGGAAUUGACGGGGACCCGCACAAGCGGUGGAUGAUGUGGAUUAAUUCGAUGCAACGCGAAAAACCUUACCUACCCUUGACAUGUACGGAAGUCCGCUGAGAGGUGGAUGUGCCCGAAAGGGAGCCGUAACACAGGUGCUGCAUGGCUGUCGUCAGGUCGACCUC
This 1015-nucleotide ribosomal RNA is filed under the name Paraburkholderia graminis. RNAcentral's name for it is "bacterial SSU rRNA". It matches the Rfam family "Bacterial small subunit ribosomal RNA", at positions 60 to 1067 of the family's 1533-position model. Lineage: Bacteria; Pseudomonadati; Pseudomonadota; Betaproteobacteria; Burkholderiales; Burkholderiaceae. The record is from RNAcentral.